AAGAAUAUCCUCAGGAUGCAUGUUAAAAAAGUUAAUUGCACAGAAUGGGAGCAGAUACCUGUUCCUAAAAGUGUAAGAGCAAUUGUUGCUUUAAAUCUUCACAAUUAUGGGAGUGGAAGAAAUCCAUGGGGUAGUCCUAAACGACAGUAUUUGGAAAAGGUAUCACACAUCUGUCCUCCGAGUCUAUUUUUAACACCAGUCAAUUUUGCUCUUGUAACCCCUUAAUAAUUCCUCCUCUCUAGUUGUUUACAACAAAGAAUGUAUUUUAGAAGAUUCCACUAACAAGGGGUGACUAAAAGAGGAAAAAAUAGGUUUCAAGUUUGAGGAAGAGAAAAAAAAAGGAGAGAAGUUUUGCCCCCCCUGAAAAUCUUUCCCUUCCUCUCGUAGGUUAAAAUUUACCCCCUAAUUUGCACCAUGUGAGAAGUAAUUUAUAACCCCUUAAUAAUUCCUCCUCUCUAGUUGUUUACAACAAACAGCUAUAAUUUGCAUUUUGGGUUGCUUUGGUUUAGGUUUGUAUCCUUUAAGGAGGUGGCAUUUCCUCAGGGUUGAAAUCACUGCAAACGUGGUGUAAAUUUGUACUUUUAUUUAUGGAUAACAGUGCUAGUACAUUUGCUGUAAUUUGCAUGCCAUUGUAAGACCUGCAACGACAUCUAAAUCAUCAAGUUGCUCAGCAACUCAGUCAAAUUCUACUUGAAAUUAUUUACUUCCAUCUAA
This is a long non-coding RNA of Populus trichocarpa (black cottonwood), 714 nucleotides long. RefSeq lists it as uncharacterized. The record is from RefSeq and is a predicted model, not a curated record. NCBI's taxonomy places the organism in Eukaryota, Viridiplantae, Streptophyta, Magnoliopsida, Malpighiales, Salicaceae. The transcript is spliced from 2 exons.